AAAUAAGACACUUCUAAAUUACCAAUAGGUCAAAUAAGAAAUUACAAGCAAAAUUAGAAAAUACUUUGAAGCAAAUUAAAAUGAAAACAGAG
Lynx canadensis (Canada lynx) is the source of this 92-nucleotide long non-coding RNA. RefSeq lists it as uncharacterized. The transcript is spliced from 3 exons. Lineage: Eukaryota; Metazoa; Chordata; Mammalia; Carnivora; Felidae. The record is from RefSeq and is a predicted model, not a curated record.